AAAUUGAAGAGUUUGAUCAUGGCUCAGAUUGAACGCUGGCGGCAGGCCUAACACAUGCAAGUCGAACGGUAGCACAGAGAGCUUGCUCUCGGGUGACGAGUGGCGGACGGGUGAGUAAUGUCUGGGAAACUGCCCGAUGGAGGGGGAUAACUACUGGAAACGGUAGCUAAUACCGCAUAACGUCGCAAGACCAAAGUGGGGGACCUUCGGGCCUCACACCAUCGGAUGUGCCCAGAUGGGAUUAGCUAGUAGGUGGGGUAACGGCUCACCUAGGCGACGAUCCC
Molecule: ribosomal RNA, 284 nt
Filed under: Salmonella enterica subsp. enterica serovar Kentucky
Lineage: Bacteria; Pseudomonadati; Pseudomonadota; Gammaproteobacteria; Enterobacterales; Enterobacteriaceae
Description: partial 16S ribosomal RNA
Rfam family: Bacterial small subunit ribosomal RNA
Source: RNAcentral